UACUCAAGGUACCAACUCCCAGUUCUUAUCCUAGCAUGAAAGUGUGUGUGACAACUGAAUUCUAGAACUGAAGAUUACGCCUGCUGUUAACACUGAAAGCAACGUAGUGGUGUACCUGGAUGGGCAGACGUGGCAAUGGCUCAUUCUUUCAGCGAGGGCUGCUUCUGGGGCUGCAAUGAGAAGAGACUGAAAGGACGUGUGAUGGGGACUGUGAUGGAAUAAGACUGCUACAGAAGGAAAAUGGAGGGACCAGUCCGACUUUCACUCUACGUGUCGUCCUCUCCUUCGCCUUCCACAGCGACUUUACGAGGGGGGCCGACGCGACGGAUGGGGGCACGUGGCCUUCACGCGAGGUCACGUGGCCACAAUAACGAGGGCCCCGCGUCGGCUGAGGUGGACCUACCGAACUGGGCGAACGGCACCCGAUGGAGCGUUGGGUAACGACUGGUGCAGGAGGAGAUGAUGCGCUGGGUAGGUGACGAUAUUAUUAACCGGAAGAAGACUUUGCAUGGAAGAAAAAAGAUGAUGAGUUGGAGCAGGAAAAGGGCUCCAGGCUAAGAGUUGGAUGCAUUGCCACAUUUGGGUUCACUUAAGCUCAGCUAGCCUGGAAGUUGAACUCAGCUUGCGCUAACCCAAUCACUGUGCAACUCAACCGAAGCUAGCUACUGUUGCACUGGGUUCGAACAGAGAUUUAAAAGCAGAGCUUUGGCAUGCUUCGCCACUGUUCACUAUGCUAGUUUCUUCUUGAGAGCAUGAUCGCGAGCUCCGCUCCACUCCCAGAUCUAAGAAUCGGUCUUCUUCAUCUCUGGCGAACGUUGAGCUACCGACUACCAUCGUCCGAAGGUUUGAGCGCAUCAGGCAGAGUUUAUCUGAUCGCGAUCUUGUUCCUUGCGUUUCUCCACUUUGCCGCAGAUCAGUGGCAGUUUCUUCAAUCUUCGAUUUUCACUUUCCAACGGAGACGACAGCGGAGUUUUCCUGACAUUUCCGAUUCCAUUCCGACAGUCAUUUCACCCGCGACUCUUGAAUCGAUAAGAUCAAUCGAUCGGGGUAGCAAGUACCGAUUACGAUCAUGUUGAAUUGAGAACCGCCUUUCUUUGAUCCUAUUUUUGAUUGUACUA
Long non-coding RNA from Zingiber officinale, 1118 nucleotides. RefSeq lists it as uncharacterized. The transcript has 5 exons. NCBI's taxonomy places the organism in Eukaryota, Viridiplantae, Streptophyta, Magnoliopsida, Zingiberales, Zingiberaceae. The record is from RefSeq and is a predicted model, not a curated record.